GUUUGGUGGUCUCUUUACACAGACGCGUGUGACAUUUGGUGCCGAAGACCCGGGACAGGAGGACUCCUUUGGGAGACCAGUCCCCUGUCCUCGCCCUCACUCCGUGAGGAGAUCCACCUAUGACCUCGGGUCUUCAGACCAACCAGCCCAAGGAACAUCUCACCAAUUUCAAAUCGGGUGUGGGGGCUGAGGUUCAGAGGCCAAGAAGCUUACACGCUCACGGAGCCAGGGAGUAGCAGAGCUGGGAUCUGAAUCCAGGAGCGUCUAAUCCCAACACUCAAGACUUUUCCGUGAACCCAUCCUGCUUCCCUUCCAAGUCUGCAAGGGAGGUCUGGAUACAGGAGUUCCACAUGGCAUUGAUGGUAGCUUCUGCAUUUACUUAAUUUAUGUAACUUUCACUGAGCUAGUAUAAUACUGAGUACUAGGGACUGUUUCUUGAGCUUUACAAAUACAACCUCAUUUAAGCUUCGUUAA
Macaca mulatta (Rhesus monkey) is the source of this 474-nucleotide non-coding RNA. Lineage: Eukaryota; Metazoa; Chordata; Mammalia; Primates; Cercopithecidae. The record is from RefSeq and is a predicted model, not a curated record.